CGGGAUGUAGCGUAGUUGGUAGCGUGUCUGUUUUGGGAAUAGAAGGUCGUGUGUUCAAGUCACACCAUCCCGA
Molecule: transfer RNA, 73 nt
Filed under: Flavobacteriales bacterium
Lineage: Bacteria; Pseudomonadati; Bacteroidota; Flavobacteriia; Flavobacteriales
Description: tRNA-Pro
Rfam family: tRNA
About the family: Transfer RNA (tRNA) molecules are approximately 80 nucleotides in length. Their secondary structure includes four short double-helical elements and three loops (D, anti-codon, and T loops).
Source: RNAcentral